Molecule: ribosomal RNA, 466 nt
Filed under: uncultured bacterium
Lineage: Bacteria
Description: partial 16S ribosomal RNA
Rfam family: Bacterial small subunit ribosomal RNA
Source: RNAcentral
GAUGAACGCUGGCGGCGUGCUUAACACAUGCAAGUCGAACGGAAAGGCCCUGCUUGCAGGGUACUCGAGUGGCGAACGGGUGAGUAACACGUGGGUGAUCUGCCCUGUACUUUGGGAUAAGCCUGGGAAACUGGGUCUAAUACCGAAUAUGACAAUUGUUUGGAUGCGAUUGUGGAAAGCUUUUGCGGUAUGGGAUGAGCUCGCGGCCUAUCAGCUUGUUGGUGGGGUAAUGGCCUACCAAGGCGUCGACGGGUAGCCGGCCUGAGAGGGUGUACGGCCACAUUGGGACUGAGAUACGGCCCAGACUACGACGGGAGGCAGCAGUGGGGAAUAUUGCACAAUGGGCGCAAGCCUGAUGCAGCGACGCCGCGUGGGGGAUGAAGGCCUUCGAGUUGUAAACUCCUUUCGCAACCGACGAAGCCUUUUGGUGACGGUAGGUUGAGAAGAAGCACCGGCUAACUACGUG